AUACGGAGGAUCCGAGCGUUAUCCGGAUUUAUUGGGCUUAAAGGGUGCGCAGGCGGCCAUUUAAGGCAGCGGUUAAAUCGUGGGGCUCAACCCCAUCCUGCCGUUGAUACUGGGUGGCUUGAUUGCGGUCGAGGCUGGCGGAAUUCGUUGUGUAUCGGUGAAAUGCAUAGAUAUGACGAAGAACACCGAUUGCGUAGGCAGCUGACCAGACCGCAAAUGACGCUCAUGCACGAAAGUGCGGGGAUCGAACAGGAUUAGAUACCCUGGUAGUCCGCACAGUAAACGAUGAAUACUUGUUUUCGGCGAUAUAAUGUCGGAGGCAAAGCGAAAGCGAUAAGUAUUCCACCUGGGGAGUACGCCGGCAACGGUGAAACUCAAAUGAAUUGGCGGGG
This 392-nucleotide ribosomal RNA is filed under the name uncultured bacterium. Its description in RNAcentral is "partial 16S ribosomal RNA". It matches the Rfam family "Bacterial small subunit ribosomal RNA", at positions 523 to 918 of the family's 1533-position model. The record is from RNAcentral.